GAAGUGGCCGCCUGGGAUGCCCUCCUCCAGGACAUCGCCCUUCUCCCGAUGAGCGUCAACGACACCCCGGAGGCCAUCUCUUGGCUUCUAGAAUCUUCCGAUCGCUUCUCCACCAAAUCCUUGUACGCAGCCAUCGCGCCCUCGCCCGCCACCGAGCCCUUCAGUUUGAUCUGGAACAUCCGCUUGCCCCUGAAAAUCAGGAUCUUCCUAUGGCAAUGGAUCCGUGGCCGCCUCCCUUCCGGAGUCGAGGUCCUCAAGCGUAAUGGACCCGGAGAUGGGUUGUGCCCCCUAUGUGACACAGUGGAGGAUGCUAAUCACAUCUUCUUCACGUGCUCCACGACCCAGUUUCUUUGGCCUAGUUUCCGCGAGACGGUUGGCGGACAGUGGUGCAAUUCCAACUUCCCUGACCUUCUUGCGGAGAUCCAUGCCUCCCCCCCUCGCUACCGGCAUAUCUGA
RNAcentral lists this ribosomal RNA (456 nucleotides) under Triticum aestivum (bread wheat). RNAcentral's name for it is "partial small subunit ribosomal RNA". Lineage: Eukaryota; Viridiplantae; Streptophyta; Magnoliopsida; Poales; Poaceae. The record is from RNAcentral.